CGCGUAGGCGGCUCGGUCAGUCGGAGGUGAAAGCCCGCAGCUCAACUGCGGAAUUGCCCCCGAUACUGCCGAGCUUGAGUGCAGGAGGGGUGACUGGAACUCAGGGUGUAGCGGUGAAAUGCGUAGAUAUCCUGAGGAACACCGGAGGCGAAGGCGAGUCACUGGACUGCUACUGACGCUGAGGCGCGAAAGCUAGGGGAGCAAACA
Molecule: ribosomal RNA, 207 nt
Filed under: uncultured bacterium
Lineage: Bacteria
Description: partial 16S ribosomal RNA
Rfam family: Bacterial small subunit ribosomal RNA
Source: RNAcentral